This 200-nucleotide ribosomal RNA is filed under the name uncultured bacterium. RNAcentral describes it as "partial 16S ribosomal RNA". It matches the Rfam family "Bacterial small subunit ribosomal RNA", at positions 29 to 256 of the family's 1533-position model. The record is from RNAcentral.
AACGAACGCUGGCGGCAUGCCUAAUACAUGCAAGUCGAACGAGAUCUUCGGAUCUAGUGGCGCACGGGUGCGUAACGCGUGGGAAUCUGCCCUUGGGUUCGGAAUAACUUCUGGAAACGGAAGCUAAUACCGGAUGAUGACGUAAGUCCAAAGAUUUAUCGCCCAAGGAUGAGCCCGCGUAGGAUUAGCUAGUUGGUGGG